UCUCCGGGGGUAGAGCACUGUUUCGGCUAGGGGGCCAUCCCGGCUUACCAACCCGAUGCAAACUGCGAAUACCGGAGAAUGUUAUCACGGGAGACACACGGCGGGUGCUAACGUCCGUCGUGAAGAGGGAAACAACCCAGACCGCCAGCUAAGGUCCCAAAGUCAUGGUUAAGUGGGAAACGAUGUGGGAAGGCCCAGACAGCCAGGAUGUUGGCUUAGAAGCAGCCAUCAUUUAAAGAAAGCGUAAUAGCUCACUGGUCGAGUCGGCCUGCGCGGAAGAUGUAACGGGGCUAAACCAUGCACCGAAGCUGCGGCAGCGACACUGUGUGUUGUUGGGUAGGGGAGCGUUCUGUAAGCCUGUGAAGGUGUGUCGUGAGGCAUGCUGGAGGUAUCAGAAGUGCGAAUGCUGACAUAAGUAACGAUAAAGCGGGUGAAAAGCCCGCUCGCCGGAAGACCAAGGGUUCCUGUCCAACGUUAAUCGGGGCAGGGUGAGUCGACCCCUAAGGCGAGGCCGAAAGGCGUAGUCGAUGGGAAACGGGUUAAUAUUCCCGUACUUGGUGUUACUGCGAAGGGGGGACGGAGAAGGCUAUGUUGGCCGGGCGACGGUUGUCCCGGUUUAAGCGUGUAGGUGUGUGUUCCAGGUAAAUCCGGUUCACUUUAACACUGAGGCGUGACGACGAGGCACUACGGUGCUGAAGCAACAAAUGCCCUGCUUCCAGGAAAAGCCUCUAAGCAUCAGGUAACAUCAAAUCGUACCCCAAACCGACACAGGUGGUCAGGUAGAGAAUACCAAGGCGCUUGAGAGAACUCGGGUGAAGGAACUAGGCAAAAUGGUGCCGUAACUUCGGGAGAAGGCACGCUGACACGUAGGUGAAGUGAUUUACUCAUGGAGCUGAAGUCAGUCGAAGAUACCAGCUGGCUGCAACUGUUUAUUAAAAACACAGCACUGUGCAAACACGAAAGUGGACGUAUACGGUGUGACGCCUGCCCGGUGCCGGAAGGUUAAUUGAUGGGGUCAGCGCAAGCGAAGCUCCUGAUCGAAGCCCCGGUAAACGGCGGCCGUAACUAUAACGGUCCUAAGGUAGCGAAAUUCCUUGUCGGGUAAGUUCCGACCUGCACGAAUGGCGUAAUGAUGGCCAGGCUGUCUCCACCCGAGACUCAGUGAAAUUGAACUCGCUGUGAAGAUGCAGUGUACCCGCGGCAAGACGGAAAGACCCCGUGAACCUUUACUAUAGCUUGACACUGAACAUUGAGCCUUGAUGUGUAGGAUAGGUGGGAGGCUUUGAAGUGUGGACGCCAGUCUGCAUGGAGCCGACCUUGAAAUACCACCCUUUAAUGUUUGAUGUUCUAACGUGGACCCGUUACCCGGGUUGCGGACAGUGUCUGGUGGGUAGUUUGACUGGGGCGGUCUCCUCCUAAAGAGUAACGGAGGAGCACGAAGGUUGGCUAAUCCUGGUCGGACAUCAGGAGGUUAGUGCAAUGGCAUAAGCCAGCUUGACUGCGAGCGUGACGGCGCGAGCAGGUGCGAAAGCAGGUCAUAGUGAUCCGGUGGUUCUGAAUGGAAGGGCCAUCGCUCAACGGAUAAAAGGUACUCCGGGGAUAACAGGCUGAUACCGCCCAAGAGUUCAUAUCGACGGCGGUGUUUGGCACCUCGAUGUCGGCUCAUCACAUCCUGGGGCUGAAGUAGGUCCCAAGGGUAUGGCUGUUCGCCAUUUAAAGUGGUACGCGAGCUGGGUUUAGAACGUCGUGAGACAGUUCGGUCCCUAUCUGCCGUGGGCGCUGGAGAACUGAGGGGGGCUGCUCCUAGUACGAGAGGACCGGAGUGGACGCAUCACUGGUGUUCGGGUUGUCAUGCCAAUGGCACUGCCCGGUAGCUAAAUGCGGAAGAGAUAAGUGCUGAAAGCAUCUAAGCACGAAACUUGCCCCGA
RNAcentral lists this ribosomal RNA (1928 nucleotides) under Salmonella enterica. RNAcentral describes it as "partial 23S ribosomal RNA". It matches the Rfam family "Bacterial large subunit ribosomal RNA", at positions 893 to 2802 of the family's 2925-position model. RNAcentral also lists the same sequence under 1 other name. Lineage: Bacteria; Pseudomonadati; Pseudomonadota; Gammaproteobacteria; Enterobacterales; Enterobacteriaceae. The record is from RNAcentral.